AUCACCUGGGUACCUUGUUAAAAUGCAAAUUCUGAUUCAGUAGGUCUGGUGUGGGGCCUGAGAUUCUGCAUUUUUGACAAGCACCCAGGCGAUGCUGA
Molecule: microRNA precursor, 98 nt
Filed under: Loxodonta africana (African savanna elephant)
Lineage: Eukaryota; Metazoa; Chordata; Mammalia; Proboscidea; Elephantidae
Description: mir-544 microRNA precursor family
Rfam family: mir-544 microRNA precursor family
Source: Rfam by way of RNAcentral